RNAcentral lists this long non-coding RNA (1014 nucleotides) under Anas zonorhyncha (Eastern spot-billed duck). RNAcentral's name for it is "lncRNA (ENSAZOG00000000279.1)". The record is from RNAcentral. Lineage: Eukaryota; Metazoa; Chordata; Aves; Anseriformes; Anatidae.
AGGGACGAACGCACCACGAAACAGGGCUCCGCUUUUCAAGGCUGGGUGGUGAGCCAGCCCUCCCCAGCCACACCUCACAGCAUACAUCUACAGGGAGGGCGGGCAGCCCACACCACACCACAGACACCAGCAGCCGGCAGCGUUAUCCCCAGCCCUCGGGGUGAGCCCGGCCGCCCGCCGGGACGCUUUGGGGCGGGUGGCGGCGGGGCAGCCCCGCAGGUGCGGCCGGGCGGGGCGGCGGGAGGGCCGAAAGCACCGCUCCUCCUCCUCCUCCUCUUCCUCCUCCUCCUCAACCUCCUCCUCCUCCUCCUCCUCCGAGGGGCUGCCGGCUCCCGCGGCGGGGCGGAGCGGGGCGGGCGCUGCCGGAGCCCCGAGGGGAGCGGAGCGGAGCCCCGAGGACAGAGCAGCCCCCCCCGGGUCGCCCCCAUCGCCCCCCGGCCCCAUGGGGGACUCGGUGUUCGGCGAGAAGCCGGCGCUGCGCUACGCGGUGAGUGCCGGGCAGGGGGGAUUUGGGGGAGAUCCGGGGUUCAUAGGGGGGCUGGAGGCUGCUGGCCCCUGCGCGGAGCGGAGCCUCUCGCCCCCCUGGUGUGGGGGAUCCGGGGGGGUCCGGGGUGCGAGCAGCCGGUGCUGUUAUUUCCUUCGCUGGGGCUUGUGCUGCUGAGAAGCCACUUCCUUUCUGCUGGCCUUAUUAGGAGCAUUUUCGCGGUUGCUCGGGCAGAGGGGGGAGGAAAAAAAAAAAAGGCAAAAAGAAAGCUGCCUGCAAACACCCGUCUGCCUCCUCGUGAAUACCCAGCGGCGGCGGGCAAAGGCGUGCAGGCUGUGCGGCCACCCCGCUGCUCGCCCCGGGGCGUGUGGCGAGUGCCUGGGGGGCCCGGGGAGCCCCCAGCAGCCCCCCCGGCGGGUCCCGGCUCCUCCGGGCUUCCCCGAGCACUACGCUCCCCCGGUGCCCUAAACGGGGCUCUCCCCUUGACUCUGUCGUCCCUUAAACCUCGUGUCUGCAGCCCAGAGCCCUAG